CUGAACCCCGGGCCCCAGAUUCCCCAGGAGGGCCCUCUGAGGUGGAGCAGCUACAAGAUGAGACCAAACACCUAAGGAAGGAGCUGGAGAGUCUGGGAAGACAGCUCCAGGCCGAGGUGGAAAACAAUCAGAUGUUGAGUCUCCUGAACAGGAGACAGGAGGAGAGGCUACGUGAGCAGGAGGAGAGGAUACAUGAGCAGGAGGAGAGGAUACAUGAGCAGGAGAAGAGGAUACAUGAGCAGGAUGAGAGGAUACGGGAGCAGGAGUGGCUGCCAGAGCAGGAGAGGCUGCUGGAGGAGGUGAAAAAGCUGUUGGAACAGGAGAGAUGGGAGGAGGAGGAGGAGAAGCUGCUAGAGCAUGAGAGGCUGCUGAACCAGAACAAUGAGAACAAGAGCGCACUGCAGUUGGAGCCUCAAGUAAAGGAGCUGAAGACGCUGGGCGAGCUGAAAGACACGGAGCACCUGGAAGCUACCAGCCAGCAGAAACAGCAGCUAAAGCCAGGUUGAGCCUCAUGGUUCUCCCUGGGGAAGAAGAGAUGGAGGAGGACAUCUGGACAGUGAGGAGGAGGAGGCACCUCGGCCCAUGCAGGACAUCCCAGAGGACCGGGAGAGCCUGGAGGUCAGGUGGCAUUUUUCAACGACGCUGGAGCCAGUGCCCAGGAAGAGCAAAGGGUGUGCUGCCAGCCCCUGGCUCACCCAGUGGCUUCAUCCCAGAGGACCCCAGGGACUGGGGGAAAGUACACCAGACAGGGGGCAGUGCCAAAAUGCAUCACUGGGACAGGAGGACAUCAUCAGGCUGGCCCAGGACCAGGAGAUGCAAAUCUUCGUGGCUGAGCCUCACUGACAGCGUGGAGCCUGCACCAGGAGAGGCCAGAGAGGGUUCUCCCCACCACAACCCCACGGCACAGCAGAUCGUGCAGCUGCUUCCUCUAACGCAGGACUCUCCAGGAGCACCGAGGCUUGGGCAGCAACCCCUGCAUGCCAUUCUUUUCACCGUGCCGAGAUCAGGCAGAUAA
This 1015-nucleotide long non-coding RNA is filed under the name Macaca fascicularis (crab-eating macaque). RNAcentral's name for it is "lncRNA (ENSMFAG00000064584.1)". The record is from RNAcentral. Lineage: Eukaryota; Metazoa; Chordata; Mammalia; Primates; Cercopithecidae.